UACCAGCACCCCGAGUGGUCGGGACGUUUAUUGGGCCUAAAGCAUCCGUAGCCGGUUCUACAAGUCUUCCGUUAAAUCCAACUGCUUAACAGGUGGGCUGCGGGAGAUACUAUAGAGCUAGGAGGCGGGAGAGGCAAGCGGUACUCGAUGGGUAGGGGUAAAAUCCGUUGAUCCAUUGAAGACCACCAGUGGCGAAGGCGGCUUGCCAGAACGCGCUCGACGGUGAGGGAUGAAAGCUGGGGGAGCAAACCGG
RNAcentral lists this ribosomal RNA (253 nucleotides) under uncultured bacterium. Its description in RNAcentral is "partial 16S ribosomal RNA". It matches the Rfam family "Archaeal small subunit ribosomal RNA", at positions 474 to 727 of the family's 1478-position model. The record is from RNAcentral.